This 464-nucleotide ribosomal RNA is filed under the name uncultured bacterium. RNAcentral's name for it is "partial 16S ribosomal RNA". It matches the Rfam family "Bacterial small subunit ribosomal RNA", at positions 28 to 506 of the family's 1533-position model. The record is from RNAcentral.
GACGAACGCUGGCGGCGUGCUUAACACAUGCAAGUCGAACGGGAAGGCCCUGCUUGCAGGGUCCUCGGGUGGCGAACGGGUGAGUAACGCGUGGGUGAUCUGCCCUGCACUUCGGGAUAAGCCCGGAAAACUGGGUCUAAUACCGGAUAGGAGCCAUAUUUAGUUUGAUUGUUGGAAAGUUGUUUCGGUGUGCGAUGAGCUCGCGGCCUAUCAGCUUGUUGGUGGGGUAGUGGCCUAGCAAGGCGGCGACGGGUAGCCGGCCUGAGAGGGUGGACGGCCACGCUGGGAUGGAGCUGAGACACGGACUCCACCCGGAGGCAGCGGUGGGGUAGAGUGUACAGUGGGCGGAAGGAUGGUCCAGCGACGCCGCGUGGGGGAUGACGGGCUUCGGGUUGUAAACUCCUUUCGCUAUGGACGAAGCUAUUUGUGAAGGUACCGAGAAAAGAAGCACGGGCAAACUAGGG